AUUGAACGCUGGCGGCAGGCCUAACACAUGCAAGUCGAACGAGUGGCGAACGGGUGAGUAAUGUCUGGGAAACUGCCUGAUGGAGGGGGAUAACUACUGGAAACGGUAGCUAAUACCGCAUACCAUCGGAUGUGCCCAGAUGGGAUUAGCGAGUAGGUGGGGGAAAGGGUCACCUAGGCGACGAUCCCUAGCUGGUCUGAGAGGAUGACAAGCAACACUGGAACUGAGAAACGGUACAGACUCCUACGGGAGGCAGCAGUGGGGAAUAGUGCACAAGGGGCGCAAGCCUGAUGCAGCCAUGGCGCGUGUAUGGAGAAGGCCUUCGGGUUGUAAAGUACUUGCAGCGGGGAGGCGUUACCCGCAGAAGAAGCACCGGCUAACUCCGUGCCAGCAGCCGCGGUAAUAC
Molecule: ribosomal RNA, 406 nt
Filed under: uncultured bacterium
Lineage: Bacteria
Description: partial 16S ribosomal RNA
Rfam family: Bacterial small subunit ribosomal RNA
Source: RNAcentral